Molecule: long non-coding RNA, 1413 nt
Organism: Daucus carota subsp. sativus
Lineage: Eukaryota; Viridiplantae; Streptophyta; Magnoliopsida; Apiales; Apiaceae
Exons: 2
Source: RefSeq, a predicted model, not a curated record
UUAUUUGUUAAUUAGUUAUGAUUAAUUAUUAAUAUUAUAUGAUUAAUAUAUGAAUUUUUGUGAAUUUUGUGUUAUCUAGUUUAUUGAGCUGAAUGCUCGUAUGUGUUCGUAUUCGCGAGAUUUCAAUUUCUAUAUGCUCAGGAGAAAAUAUAAUUUAUUUGGAUAUUUUCAUAUCGAUUUAUGGAAUGUUAGAUGAUUUUAUAAUCGAGUUACGGAUUUAAUUGUGUAUAUUUAUAUUUAUUUAUUAAUUAUUUGACUUCCGUAAAACCGUCCACUCGUAACGAGGUAGCAAAUUUUCUUCCCGGAAGUUUCAACAAAACUCACCUCUAGCCUAAUUUGAAUAUUCCGGACAUUUUUCGUGUUUUGACUUUUUCGAUCCGGAGUACGGUUUUCCCUGGAGUCGGUCCGGCGGAGUUUUUCGGGUACUAAAAUUGUCGAUAAUUAUCCAGUUUGUCUCGAUAAACGUGAAACGAGAUAUUUUCUUCAUCCUUAUCAUGUAAUAAUUGCAAUGGGACCCGCAGACCAAUAAUUGAGUUAAAAAGCCCCGUUUUGAUGAUUAUCUCGAAAACCAGUACCGAUUGGACCCCGUUUUAUUAUAUAAAGCUAUUAAAUACGUAUUUUCAUGUCAUAAACGAUCCAAAGGGGUACCAAUUAUUUGUAAAUAUAAAUAGACCUUUCUAGAGCUUAUUUUCGCCCGUAAAAUCAUUUCACCAGUUUCUCUGCACGAAUACCGAGAGAAACCGAGCGGUGUUCUUCGUGUUCUUCAUAAUCAAACGAAGAUUUGAAGGUGUUAUUGGAAUCCGAUGGAGGCGUAUGAAUAGUCAAAACGAAGCUAUCGACGCGUAGAAUCAAGUUUAAUCAUCCGUUUAUAUGCAGAUUCAACAGGAUUUGGACGAGACGUGUAUGCCCGAAGACGUUCAGAAAGUCACGUGGUAUUGCAAAGCGAAUAAGGGAUGAAUCGAGUAAGCGAAGCGAAGAUGUACGGUAGAUAGAGUAUAGCCAGAGAUGGUCUAGAGACUAUGAGAUGCAUAGAUUGUGAAAGUGGAAAGAUGAGAUUGAGAUGUGAGACUGGAGUCAGAUUUAAGAAAGGCUUAAAGAUGAGAUGAUUGAUUGAGAUUGUGGAUAAGGCUAAUGCUAGGCGAGGAGACAGAGUUGAGGAUCCAGUGGUCGAGGAGUGUUCAGGAAAGUUGAUGAGGUUGGUGCAAGCUAGAGCUGUGCUAUAGGGAUUCAAGUGUAAGUCAUAGCUGGAAUAGUGGACAGUGAUUCUUCUUAUCGAAGAUGAUCUGAUUUGGUAAGAGAUGUUGUGUAAUAAUAGUGGUAGAUUCUAAUUUCAAUACUGUAACCUGGAUGCGAUCCUGUUGUUUUGGGGGUUAAAAUGUUCUCUUUCGAAUCAUUUAUUAAAGUUUAAAUGUU